Molecule: small nuclear RNA, 141 nt
Filed under: Aotus nancymaae (Ma's night monkey)
Lineage: Eukaryota; Metazoa; Chordata; Mammalia; Primates; Aotidae
Description: U4 spliceosomal RNA (ENSANAG00000004450.1)
Rfam family: U4 spliceosomal RNA
About the family: U4 small nuclear RNA (U4 snRNA) is a component of the major U2-dependent spliceosome. The structure of U4 snRNA from yeast and human has been reported.
Source: Rfam by way of RNAcentral
AGCUUUGCGCAGUGGCAGUAUUGUAGCCAAUGAGGUUUAUCCAAGGCACGAUUAUUGCUAAUUGAAAACUUUUCCCAAUACCCCAAUGUGACGACCUGCAAUACAGUCAGCACUGGCAAUUUUUGACAGUCUCAACGGAGA